UCCGGAAUCAUUGGGUUUAAAGGGUCCGUAGGUGGACAAUUAAGUCAGAGGUGAAAUCCUGCAGCUCAACUGUAGAAUUGCCUUUGAUACUGGUUGUCUUGAAUUAUUGUGAAGUGGUUAGAAUAUGUAGUGUAGCGGUGAAAUGCAUAGAUAUUACAUAGAAUACCAAUUGCGAAGGCAGAUCACUAACAAUAUAUUGACACUGAUGGACGAAAGCGUGGGUAUCAAACAGGAUUAGAUACCCUGGUAGUCCACGCAGUAAACGAUGAUAACUAGGAGUUUGCAAUAUGACCGUAAGCUCUACAGCGAAAGCGUUAAGUUAUCCACCUGGGGAGUACGCCGGCAACGGUGAAACUCAAAGGAAUUGACGGGGGCCCGCACAAGCGGAGGAACAUGUGGUUUAAUUCGAUGAUACGCGAGGAACCUUACCCGGGUUUGAACGUAGUCUGACCGGCUUAGAGAUAGGCUUUUCAUUUAUGACAGAUUACGAGGUGCUGCAUGGUU
Molecule: ribosomal RNA, 504 nt
Filed under: uncultured Flavobacteriaceae bacterium
Lineage: Bacteria; Pseudomonadati; Bacteroidota; Flavobacteriia; Flavobacteriales; Flavobacteriaceae
Description: bacterial SSU rRNA
Rfam family: Bacterial small subunit ribosomal RNA
Source: RNAcentral